Molecule: transfer RNA, 75 nt
Filed under: Acidobacteriota bacterium
Lineage: Bacteria; Pseudomonadati; Acidobacteriota
Also listed under: 9 other names
Description: tRNA-Met
Rfam family: tRNA
About the family: Transfer RNA (tRNA) molecules are approximately 80 nucleotides in length. Their secondary structure includes four short double-helical elements and three loops (D, anti-codon, and T loops). Further hydrogen bonds mediate the characteristic L-shaped molecular structure. tRNAs have two regions of fundamental functional importance: the anti-codon, which is responsible for specific mRNA codon recognition, and the 3' end, to which the tRNAs corresponding amino acid is attached (by aminoacyl-tRNA synthetases). tRNAs cope with the degeneracy of the genetic code in two manners: having more than one tRNA (with a specific anti-codon) for a particular amino acid; and 'wobble' base-pairing, i.e. permitting non-standard base-pairing at the 3rd anti-codon position.
Source: RNAcentral
GCCGGCGUAGCUCAGUGGUAGAGCGAGGGUCUCAUAAUCCCUAGGCCGUGGGUUCGAUUCCCUCCGCCGGCACCA